AAGAAUGUCCUUUGGGCUUUUUAGCAUCCUUGUGACAGGCAUCAUGUUCAUCUCAAGCUGUUUGGUAUUUUGGAAUUGGCUGGAAAAUGAGGAAGAAAGGGUGAACUGCUCGGGGGGAGCCCUCGAGAGGAUCUUCCUUUUUUGUGCACUCUGUAUUAUUAAAGCAGCCCCACAGCGAUUGUGCCUUGUCUCCCCUCUCUGUCCUCUUCUGAUCAUUUCUAUUUAUGAACAUAAUUUUACGUAAUUUUAGU
This 251-nucleotide long non-coding RNA is filed under the name Homo sapiens (human). RNAcentral describes it as "HSALNT0089353". The record is from RNAcentral. Lineage: Eukaryota; Metazoa; Chordata; Mammalia; Primates; Hominidae.